This is a long non-coding RNA of Dinoponera quadriceps, 4494 nucleotides long. RefSeq lists it as uncharacterized. The transcript has 5 exons. Lineage: Eukaryota; Metazoa; Arthropoda; Insecta; Hymenoptera; Formicidae. The record is from RefSeq and is a predicted model, not a curated record.
GGAGGAGUAGCUUAUUAUGGCGGUGCAUCUCACGUCGGAAGCUUCCUCUUUCUGUCCACAAAAGGGGCAUCGAAUGAGGCCCCAGUAGGGACGGAGUUAACUAGGAGGAAGGAUAUUCUCUUCCUACUACCCUGCUUCUACCCCGACUGCCUUUCGGGAAAUUCGGAGCGCGACCUGAAAGGAGGAGCAACUAUACUCUUCUUUCCCGGGUCAACGAUGCAAGGUUUGUUGAGGCGCGCGCGCUAGAAGCCCAUGCAAAGAAUCGCGCGUGUGUCUCUAGACCAAGGGAGUAGAAGUCCGGGCAGGGAAUACUGGACUUCAAUUCUUGCCUUCAUGAGAGGGACACGACAGAGUGUGUGGUUUAUAUCCUAUUGCAAAAAGUUAUGUCAGCCGGGGAACUAACGAAACCCUGGCGAAAAAUCAAUAAGAAAAGGUGAGACACUUGGGAAGGAUAUUACUAUCGAUAAUGAUAUUUCCAUCGAAAUCCUGGACCGUCCCGAUUAAAUCGCAGAGGAACGACACUUGGGGGGAGGGGUUAAUCAGUAAGAGUUCAGCAUACUCCUUAGAGCUUCCUCGAGUUUCAAAAAAAUCCAUGAGGAUUUUCUUUCCUGGAAAGUGACACAAAAGGUGUACAGAGUGUCCCAAUUUAACUUAGACGCCAAAAUUUCUCGAAAACGAUGCGUUUUCUAAGAAAAAAAUGUAUCAAAUAUAAGUUGUAGGGUCUGAAAAAGGCCAUCAGAUAAGCUCAGAUUUGGUUUCGAGACUCACUUUGGACCUAAUAAAGUUUAAGUUGUUUUUCUUCGGCGGGAAUAUCUUUAUUUUAUUACAAAUUUGUAUUCUAUAGAAAAAAAUAAGAAAAUUUUGCUCCUGGUAAAUUCUGCUCCUGGUUUUCGAUAAACUUUGUCUAACAGGCGCAAAAUAGUGCUCAAAGUUCUUAUUAUGAAACACUUGACGAUCAAUGAAAACAAAUCCAACGGACGAUUCGGCCAACGAAGAUAAGAUCAAGGAAUGAUCCAGCCAAUGAAAGCAAGACUAGGGGACGAUACGGCCAGUGAGGGCAAGAUAAGGGAAUAGUGUAGCCAGUGACGAUGAAUAAUGGAUUAUGGACUAUUUGAUCUAAUCUUUGCCAUUACAUCAUUCUGUCUGUAUCAAAUAUUCAAAAUGUCCAUAUAUUCUUUAACCCUUUGAAGCACAAAUUUUUCCUUCUGUUUAUUUUUUAUCAAAUUUGGUAUCUGGGGAUUUUUAAGGUCGCUAAUCACAAAUCUGGGAUUGAAAUUGAAAAAUUUUUUAAAUCUAAUUUGGCGGAUCCAAUAUGAAGGACCAAAAUUGCAACGAACCAAUCAAAUCACUUCAAAUUUGAUAUUCUAGAGUUUUUGGGAUUGCUGAUUACGAAUCUUGAGUCAAAAUAGAAAAUUUGCCAAAAUUCAAAAUGGCGAAUCGAACAUGGCCGGCUAUAAUUGCAGAAAAUUUAGAAAAUUAAUUCAAAUUUAGUAUUUUUAAGUUUUUGAGACUGAUAACGAAUUCAAAGUUAAAAUUAGAAAAUUGUCGAAAUCAAAGAUGGCGGAUUCAAUAUAACGAGCCAAAAUUGCAGCAGGUAAUUACAUAACUGGAGGUAUUCGUAGUCUCUAUCUUGGAUAAAAGAUCAGAUAUUAUUGAUUACUUAUCUAAUAAUGCGUAAUCCAUUCUCGCUUUUAGCGUUAGUUAGUCGUUUUCGCAAUAUCACAUUUCAUAAUUUGUACUUGGAAGCUUUAAAAGUCAUAGACACUGAGUAUUUGCAUAUUUAAUCCACUAUUUUGUAUUCAACAUUUUGAAUUUUAUAAUUUAAUUUCGACCACAGAUUCGCAAUUAGCGACCCGAAAACUCUCGUUUGGAUACCACUUUUGAAGAGAAUUGCUUGAUUUUCUGCAUUUCAAUCCAUCAUAUUAGACAUUUUGAAAUUUGAAAAUUUUCUAAUUCUGACAUCAGAUUCGUAAUCAGCCACCUGAAAAAACCCUGUAUAUAAGUUUUAACAUCUAAAUUUGGAAACGUCGUUGAAAAAUGUAUUUUCUCUGAAAAACAGGCAUUUUUUUAACUUGGUUAUUUUUAACACUUGCAACAAAGUGUAUUUUGACGACUUUUUUUACAUUCUCUGUGACGAUGCAAAUUUUUGCUCAUCAAUCAGGUCUGUGGUCUGACCGAGGAUGACCGAGGAUGAGCCGGAAACUCGCGCCUUUUCGUAGGAGAAAGAGACCGAAUUUAGUAAUUUUGUCUCAUGCGCCGCUUGGCUCACGAGACGCGACCCGCGGCUAUUAUUAUUUUUGAUAAGCGUAAGGUCACCCACGAUGAGCCAGUGCAUCGGACGUAAGGAGAUUGGAGAAAUCGGAGCCUGGAGGAACCAGGCGCGAACGAGAGCGAGGAGCGACUAGAGCAGCGUGCGGAAGGGCGCGGGAAAUCUUUGUUUCCCGGGCGAACAGCUGGCGACGAACAGCGGGGAUGGCCACCUUGCGCUAAGAAAGGCGUAAGGCUUCGCGACUUGAUCGCAGAUUAUGCGAGGGAGGACCCCGGGGGAAAUCUUUCGAACUGCGAGCCCAAUAGUUGCCGAAUGUCGUCCCGAGAGGAACAAGCGCAAGCUAAGCGUCGAAUAGAGGACUCUAGACGCGAAGCUCUCGCGAGCAUCUGUGAUAAGUGUGAUCCAGCCGGGAGAAUCAAUAGGAUGCCGUAUCGAUCGGCGCGACAGAUCCUUGGCAACGGCUGUCUCCUGCGCUAAUUGACGAGUCCUGCUCGUCACUGUGCGGCCCAACGGCGAGCGCUACGGAUGUCCCGGAGCGAGAACGAGCGAGCGAAGCUGCCGAAAUAACGGGACAACUUGCUGAGAAGAAACGAGCUUGAGGCGGCGAGUGGCAUUCUUCACGUGCUCCCAGUAAAAAUCAAGAAGAUUCAAGUCUGGUGAUCUCGGAGGAGACCACAAACUGGCCUUUCUCAGCUUAUCCAACGAUUUGGGAAUUCCGCAUCUAGGAAUCUUCUGAUAUCUCGAGCGAAAUGUGCAGGGCAUCAUUUUACUGAAACUAAAAUCUUUGACGAAUAUUUAGCAGAAUAUUCUUGAAGUAUCCUAGUAAAUGGUUCUGAAGAAAAUCUAAAUAAAUUGGACCGUUAAUAGUACAUUCGAAAAAUGCGGUCCGAUAAUCUGGCCAUUAAAUAUUCCAAUCCAAAUAUGGAGGCUCCAAUAAUUGAUUGAGCACUUGUCGGGAUCAAUAAGGAUUUACUGAUCGAGGAAUUCCUAGUACUCGUUCCAUUUGACGAGUGCUGAUGGAUUCAAAUGGACCAUGUUUAAUGGAUUCUGAGAAGUCUAGGAUUGUUACGGUUUUGAAGCGUAUUUCUUUGUCUUUGUGAGACGAACGGAAAGAGGCCAGGCUUCUGAGCGUUAUAGAAGGCGUAAAGCCGGCGGACAUAUUGAGAAGGCUUGAAGCACAGUUCGGGGACAAUACGCUUAAGAAGACUCAAGUGUACGAGUGGCACAAACAAUUUUUAGAAGGACGGGAAACUGUUGAAAAUGAGGGGCACCGACGUCGCCUGAGGACCAGCGUGACAAAGGAGAAUAUUCGUCUAGUUAGCAGCCUUAUCGAGGGUGACUGUCGCUGAAAUUGCUUCUGAGGUCGGAAUAAGCUUCGGCAGUACUCAGGCAAUCAUUACUGACGACCUUGGGUUUCGAAAAGUGUCCGCUAGAUGGGUCCUUCGUCUUCUCACCGAAAAUCAGAAACGGCACUGUUUGGAGGUGCGCCAUACAGCUGCCUUAACUCGUUAAAAAAUGGAAGAACUGGUCUGGACUACACUGGAACAUCCUCCCUACAGUCCGGACUUAUCGCCCUGCGAUUAUCAUUUGUUUGGACCAUUGAAAGAAGCACUUGGAGGACAAAGAUUUGACAACGAUGCUUCUGUCGAAUCCUUCGUGAGCGAUUGGCUGCUGUCACAGCCGCCUUCAUUUUAUGAUAACGGAAUUAAAAAACUGGUUACCCGUUUGGAAAAAUGUGUUUCGAAGUCCGGGGAUUAUGUAGAAAAAUAGUUAUGUAUGUUAAUUUUUUUAUGAUGUUUUAAUUAAACAAAAAAAAUAAUUCCGGUUUAUAUUUGAUUCACCAUCGUAUUAUUUCCUAUGCACUGCCGGCAAUUAGGAUAUCGCAUAAGACAUAAAAGUCGUCUAUAAUUCCUAUUACUCACCUAGAGUAAUCAGAAUGUCAUUUGGUUUAUUAUUCGCCAAGUAGAAAAAUUUAACUUUUCAAGUAGAAUGUGCACUAUAUCAUUUGGUUUAUUAUUCGCUAAGUAGAAAAAUUUUACUUUUCAAAUAGAAAAAUUUAACCCGGAUUCGAAAAUAUCAAACUAUUAUUGAUCAAGUGAUUAUUACAAAAUUAAUGCUAUGACAGAUUUACCCAGAGAAAACUUGGUAAUAGAAUGUUACUAUUCUCUUCCUUUCUUAAAAAAAUAAAAUAGCGGAUAACAGAUAUGCAGGAGUAACAGGAUUGA